AUCUAGCCCUGAUAGAAAUGAAAAUAAAAAAACUUCCAGUGUUUGGAAGUUUUUUUAUUGUAAUGAAUAGCAGGAAAAUGG
Molecule: small RNA, 81 nt
Filed under: Flavobacterium aquatile LMG 4008 = ATCC 11947
Lineage: Bacteria; Pseudomonadati; Bacteroidota; Flavobacteriia; Flavobacteriales; Flavobacteriaceae
Description: Flavobacterium aquatile LMG 4008 Flavo-1 RNA
Rfam family: Flavo-1 RNA
Source: Rfam by way of RNAcentral